CUUAGGGGAAGAGCGAGACAGGCGGCCGCCGUCCUGUUCACCUACCUGACUGCCACACAAUGGAUCUCUAAUACUCCUCACAGACUCCCCCCCUUCCUUUGGACUGGAGGGGGUUAUCCCGAUUCCAGCAGGACCGGUCCGGGGCUGAUGUCGGUGAGAUUGGCUGAGACUGCCCCCAAUGUCCUGGAACUAAGAUGGCCCCCGCAGUGAUUCCCACUGGAUCGGCCCCACCACUCAGCCCACAGAGAGGAGACGGCUUGACACACUCCAAGCUAUACCUCAGGCCAAGAGGUCUCGCUACCGAGCCAAUAUAUCCUGGAGAGUCUGUGAGAGUCUGUG
Molecule: non-coding RNA, 339 nt
Organism: Pelobates cultripes (western spadefoot toad)
Lineage: Eukaryota; Metazoa; Chordata; Amphibia; Anura; Pelobatidae
Source: the annotation of a GenBank genome assembly